AGUCUUAUAGUCAAAUUAUGAUAUUAAAUUGCAAAUUUAAAGUAGGAAUAAAUUUCUAAGGCUU
This 64-nucleotide transfer RNA is filed under the name Aleochara sp. 1 EF-2015. Its description in RNAcentral is "tRNA-Cys". RNAcentral also lists the same sequence under 1 other name. The record is from RNAcentral. Lineage: Eukaryota; Metazoa; Arthropoda; Insecta; Coleoptera; Staphylinidae.